CUUCGACUAAGGUUCGAUUCGAGCGAAAGCGAGAAAGCGUUGCCGCAGGCAACGACCCGAAGGGCGAAGCGCGCAGCGCUGAGUAAUCCUUCCCCCACCACCA
RNAcentral lists this small RNA (103 nucleotides) under Salmonella enterica. Its description in RNAcentral is "partial RtT sRNA". It matches the Rfam family "RtT RNA", at positions 30 to 130 of the family's 130-position model. From Rfam's summary of the family: This family represents a bacterial cis-regulatory element known as RtT RNA. The exact function of RtT is unknown although it is thought that it may be involved in changing the cellular response in relation to amino acid starvation. Lineage: Bacteria; Pseudomonadati; Pseudomonadota; Gammaproteobacteria; Enterobacterales; Enterobacteriaceae. RNAcentral also lists the same sequence under 1 other name. The record is from RNAcentral.